UUUAUAUGCCAGCUAUGCUGGCACUUAUGGUAGAAGCAUCGUUUUGGGACAAAGAACGAUAACUCUUUCUAGACGACCCAUCUGAAAAGUUUCGUCACUCUCGUUAAAUCUCGUACGAUUUUUUUUUUAAUGGCGGCCAAAUUUAACGUUUCAACGCGAUCUUGUAAAAACGGGGCAGAUCGGAAAAAUUUCAAUGUUUAAUACGACAUGAAUUUCUAUUUG
This 222-nucleotide long non-coding RNA is filed under the name Mytilus galloprovincialis (Mediterranean mussel). The record is from RNAcentral. Lineage: Eukaryota; Metazoa; Mollusca; Bivalvia; Mytilida; Mytilidae.